RNAcentral lists this ribosomal RNA (426 nucleotides) under uncultured Gammaproteobacteria bacterium. RNAcentral describes it as "bacterial SSU rRNA". It matches the Rfam family "Bacterial small subunit ribosomal RNA", at positions 356 to 774 of the family's 1533-position model. The record is from RNAcentral. Lineage: Bacteria; Pseudomonadati; Pseudomonadota; Gammaproteobacteria.
GGGGAAAAUGGGCCAAUGGGGGAAGGCUUAUUCAGCCAUUGCGCCGGUGUGAAGGAGGUCCUCGGGUUGUUAAGCCAUUUUAGGUGGGAAGGAGGGCAGUUAACCAAUACGGGAUUGGUUUGACGGUACCGACAGGAUAAGGACCGGGCUACCUUGUUGCCAGCAGCCGCGGUAAUACAGAGGGUGCAAGCGUUAAUCGGAAUUACUGGGCGUAAAGCGCGCGUAGGUGGUUAGUUAAGUUGGAUGUGAAAUCCCCGGGCUCAACCUGGGAACUGCAUUCAAAACUGACUGACUAGAGUAUGGUAGAGGGUGGUGGAAUUUCCUGUGUAGCGGUGAAAUGCGUAGAUAUAGGAAGGAACACCAGUGGCGAAGGCGACCACCUGGACUGAUACUGACACUGAGGUGCGAAAGCGUGGGGAGCAAACA